Molecule: non-coding RNA, 109 nt
Filed under: Pacificimonas flava
Lineage: Bacteria; Pseudomonadati; Pseudomonadota; Alphaproteobacteria; Sphingomonadales; Sphingosinicellaceae
Description: Glycine riboswitch aptamer
Rfam family: Glycine riboswitch aptamer
About the family: This family represents the bacterial glycine riboswitch. Glycine riboswitches usually consist of two metabolite-binding aptamers domains with similar structures in tandem.
Source: Rfam by way of RNAcentral
GCACCCGGCGUGGGAGAUGCGGCGCCGGUCCGGCAAGGGACGGUGCCCGCCGCCGAAGGAGCAAGCCUUCCCCGGAAUCUCUCAGGCGCAAACGGACCGCGCAGGGUGC